This is a long non-coding RNA of Mytilus californianus (California mussel), 683 nucleotides long. RefSeq lists it as uncharacterized. The transcript has 7 exons. The record is from RefSeq and is a predicted model, not a curated record. Lineage: Eukaryota; Metazoa; Mollusca; Bivalvia; Mytilida; Mytilidae.
AUUCCAAUGGUCACUAGGUGGCGCCCUAAAAGAACGAAAAAUUUAUUGCUUCCGGUAUUCUCAUUCUCAUGCUUUUCACAAUCUUGCCGGUAUUCCAUUUCGAAAGGAGCUUUUUACAUCAACCAUCAGACCAAUAUUAAUAUUUGCUGAAUGUAAUAAUUGUUUAAGGAGUUACUUGUAUUAUAUAGUGAUUAGUUGAUAUUUUGAUACAGAAGACAACCACCUUCUUAUUUUGUUUUCAAAUUUGGUAUAAUUGUUCAGAUUUAAAUGGUGAACAUGUAAUUAAAGAGCCAGUCAAGAGGAGUUUAACAGUUUUUUCCUAUUGAUUUGCUGAUAACAGAGGUCUAUCGAAGAAAGAUUUUGGUGUUUUCUUCAUUUUGAUAGAGGGUGUUUAAAUUGAGCCAGACAAUUACAUUUUGAAGCUCUAGUACAGCUAUUUGACAGACAUAUUAGCUACUGGGACAGUAUUCUACCAGAAAACACAGGGGAAGUAUACUGUUUGGAACUGUCAGAAAUAUUGGAAGAUAUAGAUGAUGGAACAUUUAGUUUUGAUGAUAAUAAACAGUCUUAAAAUUUAAAGCUUUGAUUAUUUUGAAACAGACUAUAACAGUGUUAGGUAAGUAAUGCAGUUAGAGUUACCUCUCUUUACUUACAAAAUUUGUAUAAAUUAGCUGGAGUUACUU